AUUUUUACCCACUGUGUUUAUACUAGGAAAACUGAAACUGGCAUUUAGUGCUUUAGUAAAUAUUUAUUGAAUAAAUGGCUAGAUAUACUGCUGACAAGAAUGGUUUGUAAACCAAUGCAACUUACUGUAGUACUUAAAAAUAGAUAUUAAUUUACUCGGCUUCAGGCGCUAAGUGGGGGUCUAGAAUUAAGAAAUAAUUUGUGAAAAAAACUAGAAGGUGCUCAGUUAAUAAAAGUUAGCGAGUGUGGUUGAGAGACUUUUCGCUCUGCAGCCCAGCUAUGCAGUCUUAGACUUGUGAUCCUUUGCCUUCUUGCAAGUGCGAUGCUUCCUUUGUGUGGGUACCACUAAGCCUGACUGCCAGACGGUUAAAAACUUUUUGUUGAUUCUUUGUGAAUUCCACAUCAGGAUCCCCAAUCCUACUUAUCUUUAACCCUGUUCCUAUGUAUCCACCCUCUGCCCUUGCAACCUCCCCCAAAAAGAAAAGAAAAAAGAAAAGAAGAAAACAACAACAAUCAACAACUCCCCCCAAAACAUAAAAAAUAUCAUCAUGGAAGUUGUAUUGUGUCACAGUACACACUUGACCACACAUUUUUCCUUGCAAAUGUUCAUUGCAAUGGUCAUUGGUCUGGUUUGAGACCUCUGGCUUCUGCUACACUAUCAAUACUGGAUCCUCACCAGGACUCUUCUUGGAUAUCCUGUUGUUGCCCUGUGUCCUGGAGAUCCUGCAGUUUCAGAUAUGUAGGACUAGGCCUUUUCAUGCACCCAGUAGUUCUUGGAUGGGGUAGAUGUUGGGUGGGCCAACUCAUAGCUCUGGAUCUGGGCCUAGGAGGAGUUGAGUUGGUUAGCCUGCCAGCUCUCCUGCACAGCACCACCAGGGUAAGCUCUCCAGCACUGCUCCAGGUAGCUCAUCCAGUGCUGCAGCUAGCAAGGGGCAGGGUCAGCUCUCCUCUUAUACCCUCAGGUCUGAUGUCUUAGGGUUUAAUUGCUGUGAAGAGACACCAUGACCAGGACAACUCUUUUUUUUUUUUUUUCCAUUUUCUUUUUUCUUCUUCUUGGUUUUCUGCGACAGGGUUUCUCUGUGUAGCCCUGGCUGUCCUGGAACUCACUUUGUAGACCAGGCUGGCCUUGAAUUCAGAAAUUCGCCUACCUCUGCCUCCCAAAUGCUGGAAUUACAGGACAACCCUUAUAAAGGCAAACAUUUAAUUUUGGCUGGCUUACGGUUUCAGAGAUAAAGUCCAUUAUCAUCAUGGCAGAAAGUAUGGCAGCCUGCAGGCAGACAUGGUGCUGGAGAAGGAGCUGAGGGUUCUACAUCUUGGUCUGAAAGCAGCCAGAAGACUCUCUUCAGCAAGCUGCUGGGAGGUGGCUCUCUUCUGCAUGGCCUCUGGUGGUAACAGGGGCAGGGGACAUCGACACAGACCCUGGCUGUGAUAGGACCAUGGACCCAGCCAUGGCAACAGCAUGGGCCCAGAUGUCCCAGUGGCCUUAGGUGGCAGUGCAGGCCACUCAGCACAGACCACAGACAUGUGCUUGGCUUUUGGUGGUAACGCCAGGCACAGGUUUCAACACAGACCUCUCAUGCAGCAGACCCAGACACGGUCCUUUCCUAGAACCUCUCCAUGGCCUCCUCAUAUCCGCCUGUUCCUUACCACCAUCAAGUCCCCAGUUUCAUCUUUAUCUAUAGUAUAUGAACCUCUCUGCUUCAUUCUCUCCCAUCUUCCCACUGUGUACACCAGCUUUCCCAAUUUUUCCAUCACAUAUUUGCCCAUAAUAAUGUGGCACUUGGAGCAAGCUCUUGCAUGUCUUUCUUCUGGCUGGGGUGGCCACUUGGGUGUUUUUCUUCUGGCUGUUCCAGGAUGGCCUGGCUUGAGUGGGCAUUUGGGUGAAUUUCUUCCACCCUCCUCAGGCCAUAGGGACCAGGGUGGGCAUCUUUCUUUGGGCUACCCCAGGCCAGUGGGAAUCAAAUGGGCUGACUUCUAGAUUUAUUUAUUUAUUUGUUUAUUUAUUUUUUUGUAGUGGUGGUCCCUGAGAGCUCUAGGGGUACUGGGUGGUUCAUAUUGUUAUUCCUCCUAUGGGGCUGCAAACCUCUUCAGUUCCUUGGGUCCUUUCUGGAGGACCAAUGGGGACCCUGUGCUCAGUCCAGUGGUUGGCUGAGAGCAUCUGCCUCUGGAUUUGUCAGGUACUGGUAGAGCCUCUCAGGAGACAGCUAUAUCAGGCUCCUGUCAGCAAGCACUUGUUGGCAUCCACAAUAGUGUCUGGGUUUGGUGGUUGUAUAUGGGAUGGCUCCCCAGGUGGGGCAGUCUCUGGAUGGCCUUUCCUUCAGUCUCUGCUCCAUACUUUGUCUCUGUAUCUCCUCCCAUGGGUAUUUUUGUUCCCUCUUCUAAGAAGGAUCAAAGCAUCCAUACUUUGGUCCUCCUUCUUCUAGAGCUUCUGUGGUCUGUGAAUUGUGACUUCUAGAUUUUUAAACAUUCAUCUGCUAAAUACUAGUCAAAUGUAUUUUCAUCUUUAAGUCUGUAGAAUUUAGAGCUUUCAUUUCAGUGACAAUUUGUUCUGGUCUUCAUGUCCCCAGCUCCCCAACUGUCUUCUUCAAGCUUAUAUUUUUCACUGUAAAUAUUAUACUUAAAGUUACCCUUUUAAAGGUGUAUAACAAAUUUCUUAACAUUUUUAACAAGUGUUAUCUUUAAAAUUUUUUUUUAUUUCUUACAAGCUUCUGAAAUCUUCAUAUCUAAUUUAUGAUGCAUCAAAGAUAAUUUAUGUAUUAGGUUUCUGUUCUACUCCUUUCUGUUUUUGUGACAAUAUUUUGGCAAAAAGCUACUUAUAGGAAAAUGUUUUACUUUAGCUCAUAAUUCCAGGUUAUAAUCUGUCACUGUGGGUAAGUCACAAUGACAGGAGCUUGAAGCAGCUUAUUACACUGUAUCCACAGCCAAGACCAGAGAGAAGUAAAUGCAUGUAUGUUCAUAUGUGUAUGUUCAUGCGUGUAUGUUCAUACGUGUAUGUUCAUGCGUGCUUGCUUGUGUUCAGAAACAGAAGCAUGUUCAUGCAUAGCUCAGGAUUUCCUGCCCGUGUGUCAGUGCCUAAAGCAGUGAAUGGAGUUAAGACCAUCCGCCACAGACAUGCUUCCAGGCUAACCCAGAGUAGACUGUUCUCCACUGAGACACUGUUCCCACGGGAUUCUAGCUUAUGUCAGGUUCAUAGUUAAAGCUAGCUAGCACAGUCUUUAAAAAAAAUUCCCUUCUUUAAAAAAAAAAUGUCAAUGGUGGGCUUGAGAGGAGGUUCAGUGUUUAGACAGCAGCUUCUCUUGUAGAGCGCCUGGGUUCUGUUCCUAGCACCCACAUGAUGGCUCACAGCCAUCUGUAACUCCAGUUUCUAGGGGUCAGAUGCCCUCUCCUGACCUUUGUGAACACUGGGCACUCAACUGGCACACAUACAUACAUGCAGGCAGAACGUUCAGACGC
This 3452-nucleotide long non-coding RNA is filed under the name Mus musculus (house mouse). Its description in RNAcentral is "long non-coding RNA chr16:56127736-56131188". Lineage: Eukaryota; Metazoa; Chordata; Mammalia; Rodentia; Muridae. The record is from RNAcentral.